Molecule: long non-coding RNA, 992 nt
Organism: Sceloporus undulatus (fence lizard)
Lineage: Eukaryota; Metazoa; Chordata; Lepidosauria; Squamata; Phrynosomatidae
Exons: 3
Source: RefSeq, a predicted model, not a curated record
UCUCAGUUCAGCUGAGGCCUCAGGGAAGGUUCUGGAACAUUCUCCAGUCACAAGCAACACAAAAUGGCCACUGGAAUACAAAAUGGCUGUCGUAACACAAAACGGCCAUCUCUGCCUCAGCACUUGCCUCAGCACAGCAAAGUCUGAAGGGAUUUCCAAACUGUAACAACACCUAAGAUUUCCUGAUACUAUCAGGGCCGGCUCAUCCAUAUAGGUGAGCUAGGCAGCUGCCUAGGGGCGCCAACCUCUAGGGGGCGCCAGGGAGAGAGAGAGAAAGAGAGAGAGUGGCUGGAGCCGGAGGAUCAUAGAAGCAGGCAAGCAGAGCAGCCAGCAGCCAGUAGCACUGUGAGUAGCAGGGAGAGAGAGCUGCUUGCUGAGGCUGGAAGGGGGGAGAAAGUUUGCUGCACUCUGCAACUCCUGGGCUGCAUCCACACUGGAGAAUUAACCCGCGUUACAAGGCAUUCACCGCUCCCUGCAUCCAAAGCAUUUUGUUGCCCAAUGAAAGGCAUCCUCAAAGGAUUCAAACUUCUGGAACGGAAGAUCUCCCAGGAGUUUCUUCUUAUUAAGCAGGUAAGUUUGUCCAUCUCCACCAGAUCUAAUACUUUUAUUAUCCAUGUAUUGUAAUCAAUGGUAUCCUUCUUUUUCCAGUUUGAAGCGUAAAUUAGUCACGCUGCUGAAUUUAAGUAAAAUAUGCCAUGCUUUUUUUCUAAAUCAUCUAUUGGGAUCAUUCCUAGUAAAUAAUAUUCUGGUGUCAUGGGGAAGUUAUAAUUCAAUAUCUAUUGUGUCCAUUUAUGAAUCUGCUUCCAGAAUCUGGAUGCAUAGGGGCAGUUCCACCAUAGAUGAAAGAAAGAACCAGGAGUUUUAUUGCACUUCCAGCAAUUUUGGGUUUUGGUUUGUAUAAAUUUUUGCAAGCUUUGAUGGUGUUAGGUACCAGCGGAAUUGCAUUUUAUAAUAAUUUUCCUUGAGGGCAUAACAUGAAGUAUACUUUAUCC